RNAcentral lists this unclassified non-coding RNA (218 nucleotides) under soil metagenome. RNAcentral describes it as "partial contains 5.8S ribosomal RNA, internal transcribed spacer 2, and large subunit ribosomal RNA". The record is from RNAcentral.
AACCAUAGAAACCUGCGGAGUACCUGCGGAGGGAUCAUUACAGAGUUCAUGCCCUCACGGGUAGAUCUCCCACCCUUGAAUACUAUACCUUUGUUGCUUUGGCGGGCCGCUUUGGCUACUGGCUCUGGCUAGUAAGUGCCCGCCAAAGAACCCCAAAACUCUGAAUAUUAGUGUCGUCUGAGUACUAUAUAAUAGUUAAAACUUUCAACAAUGGAUCU